RNAcentral lists this ribosomal RNA (792 nucleotides) under Triticum aestivum (bread wheat). RNAcentral describes it as "partial small subunit ribosomal RNA". Lineage: Eukaryota; Viridiplantae; Streptophyta; Magnoliopsida; Poales; Poaceae. The record is from RNAcentral.
GAGUAGGAUUUUCUACAAUAGCUUACCACAGAACUAGUUAAGGUUUUCGACGGUGUAAAAGUUCUCAAAAAUCUUGAAAAAAAUACUGAACCAACACACCUAUAAUAUAACAUGAUCCAAUGGAUGGAUUAAAAAAAUAUGACUGCAUGUGUCCUAGACAAAAAGAACAAAUGGUUCAAUAUAUAUUGAUCUUGGAGUGAGCUGAAAUGCUUGUUUUUUCGCCGAGGACACAUAAAUGCAUUUUUUCACAAUCACACUAUUGGACCAUCUUAUUAUAUUAGAGUGAGGCUCCCCUAUUUAUUUCAUAUUUUUUACUUACUUUUAAACCGUUAAGUGUUUAGCAAGCCUUAACUAGUUCUGUGACAAGCUAUAUAUAUAGUGGCUUUUGUGAAGCUGCAGGUAUAUGUUUCCAUUUGUUUUUAUAUUUAAUAGAAUGUCCAUUGUGGAUUUUGUGAAACUGUAGGUAUAUGUUUCCUUCCAUCCCUUUGCAAGAUUGGCUUAUAAAGUAUGGAGUAUUGAUGAAUAUCAAUUGAUAGUCACUGGGAUGUGAAAUUACAACGAUGUCAGUAUGUAUAAGAUUUCUCAAUUCCACUUUAUCUCGAGGAACCGCGAGAAAUGUAGUGUACAAAUGAGUUCAUGGCUUUGCAAGGCAUAUAAAUUUUAGGUGUGCAAUCUUUUCACUUAGUGUAUGUUGUUCCCGUAUGUAGACUUCCUUUUUGAUGAUAUUCACAAAUAUGUUGAACAUGGUUGGAAGUGAACAAAUUCUUGUGGAAUAUGAAUAUAAAGUUUUGC